RNAcentral lists this ribosomal RNA (255 nucleotides) under uncultured bacterium. RNAcentral describes it as "partial 16S ribosomal RNA". It matches the Rfam family "Bacterial small subunit ribosomal RNA", at positions 524 to 776 of the family's 1533-position model. The record is from RNAcentral.
UACGAGGGGGGGCGAGCGUUGUUCGGAAUUAUUGGGCGUAAAGGGUGCGUAGGCGGUUCGGUAAGUCUCAUGUGAAAUCUACAGGCUCAACUUGUAGUCUGCAUGAGAAACUGCCGGGCUUGAGUAUGGGAGAGGUGAGUGGAAUUCCCUGGUGUAGCGGUGAAAUGCGUAGAUAUCAGGAGGAACACCUGUGGCGAAAGCGGCUCACUGGACCAUAACUGACGCUGAUGCACGAAAGCUAGGGGAGCAAACAGG